UACGGAGGGAGCUAGCGUUGUUCGGAAUUACUGGGCGUAAAGCGCACGUAGGCGGCUUUGUAAGUUAGGGGUGAAAGCCUGGAGCUCAACUUCAGAAUUGCCCUUAAGACUGCAUCGCUUGAAUCCAGGAGAGGUGAGUGGAAUUCCGAGUGUAGAGGUGAAAUUCGUAGAUAUUCGGAAGAACACCAGUGGCGAAGGCGGCUCACUGGACUGGUAUUGACGCUGA
RNAcentral lists this ribosomal RNA (226 nucleotides) under uncultured bacterium. RNAcentral's name for it is "partial 16S ribosomal RNA". It matches the Rfam family "Bacterial small subunit ribosomal RNA", at positions 524 to 749 of the family's 1533-position model. The record is from RNAcentral.